AGCUUUACAUAGAUUUAAAUUUAGCUAAUUUAGUUAAAUAAAGGUUAGAUUUAAUUAUUUGUUUUAUUGGGGUGAUAUGAGUAUAAAUAUUAAUAACUGCUUAAGAAAAAUACUAAUAUAAUAGGUUUAUAAGUGGAUGAUCCUUUUUAAAGAUUAAAAGACUAAG
Molecule: ribosomal RNA, 166 nt
Filed under: Brachyura sp. 2013Kam OTU3
Lineage: Eukaryota; Metazoa; Arthropoda; Malacostraca; Decapoda
Description: partial 16S ribosomal RNA
Source: RNAcentral